This 482-nucleotide ribosomal RNA is filed under the name uncultured bacterium. RNAcentral describes it as "bacterial SSU rRNA". It matches the Rfam family "Bacterial small subunit ribosomal RNA", at positions 18 to 518 of the family's 1533-position model. The record is from RNAcentral.
AUCUGGUCAGGACGAACGCUGGCGGCGUGCUUCAUACAUGCAAGUCGAACGAUAAGGCACCUUCGGGUGUACAUAAGUGGCGGACGGGUGAGUAAUAAUGUAGAGAAUCUGCCCUAGAGAAGUGGGACAACAGUUGGAAACGACUGCUAAUACCGCAUAUGAGCGUACCUGAAAUGGUAUUCUUGAAAACUCCGGUGCUCUGGGAUGAGUCUGCAUCUGAUUCGCUAGUUGGGGGUGUAAUGGACCACCAAGGCGACGAUCAGUAGCUGGUUUGAGAGGAUGAUCAGCCACAAUGGGACUGAGACACGGCCCAUACUCCUACGGGAGGCAGCAGUAGGGAAUUUUGCGCAAUGGGGGAAACCCUGACGCAAGCAACGCCGCGUGACCGAUGAAGCCCUUCGGGGUGUAAAGGUCUGUCAGUGGGGACGAAUAUUGACGGUACCCACAGAGGAAGCAUCGGCUAACUCCGUGCCAGCAGCCGC